Molecule: ribosomal RNA, 331 nt
Filed under: uncultured bacterium
Lineage: Bacteria
Description: bacterial SSU rRNA
Rfam family: Bacterial small subunit ribosomal RNA
Source: RNAcentral
AGGGUUCGAUCAUGGCUCAGGACGAACGCUGGCGGCGCGCCUAACACAUGCAAGUCGAACGAGCGAGAGAGAGCUUGCUUUCUCGAGCGAGUGGCGAACGGGUGAGUAACGCGUGAGGAAUCUGCCUCAAAGAGGGGGACAACAGUUGGAAACGACUGCUAAUACCGCAUAAGCCCACGGUGCCGCAUGGCACAGAGGGAAAAGGAGCAAUCCGCUUUGAGAUGGCCUCGCGUCCGAUUAGCUAGUUGGUGAGGUAACGGCCCACCAAGGCGACGAUCGGUAGCCGGACUGAGAGGUUGAACGGCCACAUUGGGACUGAGACACGGCCCAG